GUAGGUGGCAAGCGUUGUCCGGAAUUAUUGGGCGUAAAGCGCGCGCAGGUGGUUCUUUAAGUCUGAUGUGAAAGCCCCCGGCUCAACCGGGAGGGUCAUUGGAAACUGGGGAACUUGGAGUGCAGGAGAGGAAAGUGGAAUUCCACGUGUAGCGGUGAAAUGCGUAGAUAUGUGGAGGAACACCAGUGGCGAAGGCGACUUUCUGGCCUGUAACUGACACUGAGGCGCGAAAGCGUGGGGAGCAAACAGGAUUAGAUACCCUGGUAGUCCACGCCGUAAACGAUGAGUGCCAAGUGUUGGGGGGUUUCCCGCCCCCCUCAGUGCCGCAGCUAACGCAUUAAGCACUCCGCCUGGGGGAGUACGGUCGCAAGACUG
RNAcentral lists this ribosomal RNA (375 nucleotides) under uncultured organism. RNAcentral's name for it is "partial 16S ribosomal RNA". It matches the Rfam family "Bacterial small subunit ribosomal RNA", at positions 527 to 896 of the family's 1533-position model. The record is from RNAcentral.